This is a long non-coding RNA of Ictalurus punctatus (channel catfish), 5911 nucleotides long. Lineage: Eukaryota; Metazoa; Chordata; Actinopteri; Siluriformes; Ictaluridae. The record is from Ensembl.
ACCAAAUCAGCUAUUUGGUACAUUCUUAAAAAGAUAAGAAUGCACUGGUGAGAUAAGGAACACCAAUUGACCUGGAAGACCAUGGCAAAUGACUGUGGUGAAUGACCGAAAAUGUCUUUCCCUGGUGAAGAAGAAUCCCUUCAUUACCGCUGGCCAGAUCAAGAACACCCUCCAGGAGGUAGGCAUAUCUGUAUCAAAGUCAAAAAUCAAGAGAAGACUUCACCAGAGUAAAUACAGACUGUUUACCACAAGAUAGAAACCACUGGUAAGCCUCAAAACUAGGAAGACCAGAUUAGAGCUUGUCAAAAAAAAACAUUUACAAAGCCUGUACAGUUCUGGAACAACAUUCUAUGGACAACCGAGACAGAUAUUAACUUGUACCGGAAUGAUUAAGCAUUACGUACACGUAUGGGCUGCCAAUGGAACUGGUUUCCUUCCACUUAUCGAUGAUGAUGAAUUCUGAACUGCAUAAGACUAUAUUAUCUGCUCAGAUUCAGCCAAAUGCUUCACAGUCGCUUCACAGUCCAGACGGACAAUGACCUCAAGCAUACUUCGAAAGCAGCCCACAGAUUGUUUAAGGCAAAGAAGUGGAAUGUUCUGCAAUGUCCAAGUCAAUCACCUGACCUGAAUCCAAUUGAACAUAGAUUUCAUUGCUGAAGGCUAGACUGAAGGCAAAACUCCCCAAGAAGCAGCAGGAACUGAAGACAGCUGCAGAGCAUCACCAGGGAAGAAAAAGCCCGGAGAAUACAGGUGAGGUAGACAAAGAAGUAUACACAUAUAUGAGAAGACUUGACCACCAAACGCCAACAAAUGAGAACAAGAGAACAAGAAAACGAGGAGUCGGAAAAGAGUUGACAGUAAACAAGUUGCCAUUUCAGCCUGGUUGCGAAUAUGACGAAGGAAAGCUCAACAAUCCCACAUUUCUCUCUACAUAUUUUGUUAAGAUCUGAAUCGUUUGGAUUUCGCACCUCAGUGAUCUGCAUGUGUGUUGAGCUCUUUGAAUGUUGUUCACAUCGCUGGCCAGUGAGCGAGAGCUGGACUGUUUGCCAUUUGAAUAAUCAAUAUGACAGCCUUCUUGUUGCCAUUUUGAUUCUGAGUUGCUUCUGUACAGAGGUGUGUGUGUGUGUGUGUGGUGUGUGUGUGCACGUAGUCAUGGCCCUGUUUAACCUUAACUAGAUUAGGGUGAUUAUCCGGGCUCUCAGCCGCCACUGUACAGACGGGAUAAGUGUUCACAAAGCCCCCUCUGUGCAGCGAUCGGCCAAUCUGUGAUUCUUAUUCAUAUCUAAGCCAGCCGGCGCUCUCCUUUCUCCCUCUAACCGCCAUGCUAAGUGACAGAAAGUCCCUCUUUCUCUCAAGCCGAGGAGGAAGAAAGGAGAAAAUUAAUCCAAUAUGGCCUCGAGCGUUCUGUGGUGCUGUGUGGUUUCUUGUCCUGGGGCUUGCUCGGAGAAAGUGCACUUGUGUAUAUGUGUGUGUGUGUGUGUGUGUUUCAAGAAAAGCAAACUCGGAGAAAAUUCAAACAAGCACAGUCCAACAAAUAAAGCAAAAGACGAUCGUUUGAGGAAAAAAAAGCUCUUCGUUAGACACUUUUACAAGCCAGCGUCUGCAUCCGCUCCUGUUACAUUCUCAGAAAGGAAGAAAUACGACGCACUCUAAACAGUAGCACAAUGGGGAAAAUCAUGCCGUUAUGGGUCAAGAGCUUCAGUUAAUGUUCACACCGAACGUCAGAACGAGGAAAAAUUGUGAUCUCGGUGACUUCGUGACACGGCUGUUGCUGCCAGACAGGCUGGUUUGACUAUUUGAGAAACGGCUUACGUCCUGAGAUUUACACAGAAGACAGUCUGUAACGUUUAGGCAAAAUGAUGUCGAAAAGCAUCCAGCAGCUCUGGUGGCAGAAACGCCUCCGAGAGAGGUUGGACACGAAUGACCAGACAGGUUUGAGUUGACAGGAAGGCUACGGUAACUCAAAAGACCGCUUUUUACAACCGUGGUGAACAGAAAAGCAUCUCGGAACGCACCUCGAGCCUUGAGGUGGAUGUGCUGUAAGGGCAGAAAAUCUCGAGGAGAUCAGAUAGUAAUGAGGGAAAGUGGGCGGGGCUUUCAGGGUCUCAGUUAAUAUCUGAGUUCAAAACACCUCUACAACUGUCAAUCAUUCCACACUCACUCCCACCUGGUGAUUUGUUCAUCUACCUUUUUUAUUGAGGGGGAAAAAAAUUGAAGACUUUUUUAUUUUACGUAUUUUUUAAAUUGAUAACUCGUAGCAGCUCACUCUGAUCCAUUCAACUUUAGCACUAUUCUUCAUCGAUACACCGUCUUCUCUUCACUUUACGCAAACUGCAUUACACAUUUUGCAGAAAAACCACAUCGAAGGAAAAAACUCUGUGAAAGUGCUCCAUGCUCGUGUACACAGCUAGACGAUCAGGCAACUCCAUCCAACUGCAAUCCUGUUCUAAUAACAUAAUACCCCUCUGUGUAAUAUUUAAUGGCUUUUCAGCAUCGUAACAAGCCGUGGCAGGUCUGCCUGUGUCGAUUUGACACAAACGCCGGCGCGUCCUCUGGCACGUCGCCUCACUGGGGUUACCAACUCGUGUGUGUUGAUACCACACAGUCGUUGUUCCUAAUUUCAUCAGCUCAGCACUAAUUACAUCCCUAGAACAAGGUAAUUAUCCUGGACGGCGUGUUACGAACGACCACACGCACUUCAAUGUUUGUUGGGUUUCCUAAAUUUAGUAUAAAAAAAAUUUAAAAAACAGCUUGCAACAGCUGUGCAAGUCGUACAUUUAUUUCUGUCAAAAUAAUAAACCUGGCACGAACACUUCCUCGAGUUGUGAAUGUAGCACUAAUCAAGCUUUACUAUUUCAAAGCUGCUAUUGUUGUAUCGGAUGUCAACAAUCUGUCUAUGUAUGCGGAAAGUAUAUACUGUCCAACCACAAGCAGAAGGGAUCACAGUGCUGUAUGGGUUUUUUUGUUUCGUUUUUAGAGCGAGAGCUGAUUAGAAACCCCAAAAUAAUAGCAUUCACUGAAUACACGGGCACAGCUUCAGCCCUUUCAUCUUAUACAACUCCGUGACAACGGCAGACAGAUAAAGACUGAUGAGGAAAAAAUUCGAACGGCGAUGAAAAACCGGUAUGAAAAUAUGAACAAAACAAUCCGCAGGUUUGUAUGCGUAUUACUGAGUGACAAACUGCAUAAUUUAAUGAGCCACGAGGAAGGAUUUUAUUCCAGUAGUGGCCCUUCGCAAAUUAGUUAUAAACAGGAAAUGGGGCUCGCUACACAAGAUUUUGCCAAACCAGGACAAAUAUCUUAAACGAGGGAAGGCUAGCUUGUCCGGUCUGAUCAGACAGAAGAGCUACUGCUGGCUAUGAAAGAAAGGUGUCGGAUCACACAAUGCAUGGGGCUGCGUAUAUGCAGACGGGUCAGAGUGCCCAUGCUGACCCCUGUCCACCGCCGAAAGUGCCUACAAUGGGCACAUGAGCAUCAGAACUGGACCAUGGAGCAAUAGAAAAUGGUGGCCAAGUCUGAUGAAAAUAAUAAAAGUUUUUAAUAUCAUGUGGACGGCCGGGUGCGUGUGUGUCGCUUACGUGGGGAAGAGAUGGCACCAGGAUGCACUAUGGGAAGAAGACAAGCCAGCAGAGGCAGUGUGAUGUUCUGCUGGGAAACCUUAGGUCCUGGCAUUUAAUGUGGAUGCUACUUUGAUACGUACCACCUGCCUAAACGUUGCAGACCAAGUACACCCCUUCAUAGCAACGGUAUUCCCUGGCCUCUUUCAGCGGGAUAAUGCGUCCUGCCACACUGUAAAAAUUGUUCAGGAACGCUUUGAGGAACAUGACAGUAUUCAAGGUGUUGACUCGGCCUCCAAAUUCCCCACAUCUCAAUCCGAUCGAGCGUCUCUGGGAUGUUCUGGACAAACAAGUCCGAUCCAUGGAGGCUCCACCUCGCACCUUACAGGACUUAAAGGAUCUGCUGCUAACGUCUUGGUGCCAGAAACCACAGCACACCUUCAGAGGUCGUAUGGAGUCCAUGCCUCAAUGGGUCAGAGCUGUUUUGGUGGCUCAAUGCAUGUAUGGAAAAUAAAGCUUGGAAGGAAGUACUACAGAUCUUUGGUGUCUCAGGAGAUGGUUGGAACUGAAUGUGUGUUUAACUAACGGCAGUAAGCAGUGUUAGCCUGCACUGCUAGUUUGCUAACAAAACUAAUCGGAAGCCAUUAGCAUUUUCAAUCCGUUUUAAACAGCUGUAAAUAAAGUACUGUAGUAAAUCCUGUGCUGUAAACUUUAUAUUCCAGCUACAACCCUUUUUCACCGGUGGACGAUUGUACAUGCCCAGGAGCGACAAGAGUAGCGUUCAAUACACCACGACAGUAAAAGACAGACUACAAGCGGCACCGGCGACUUUCGAGUCGCUCGCUAGUGUGAACGCACUGUAAUGAAAAAAAGACAACAGAAUGUUUACAGGAUUUAUGAAAUACACAGAUGACGGACCGAUAAAGAAAAGUCAUCAAAACUUAUCGCCUCCUGACACGAUGCGAAAAAGUUAGCUUCUGGUUUUGUUCAUAAAUUAGCCCGGGAAAAUCCUCGUUACUCUUAUAAUUUCUACAAACUGCUACAGAUCACUACGAGAGGCUUUUAAUGGCCAUCAAGGAGAAAAACAAGCGUGGCUGCUGAAAGGAGGACUAAUGAAACAUUUCCUCCAUUUUUAAUUGAUUCAGUCGAUCUUCAUACACUAAAAAGCAGCCAUAAAACGACAAACGCCGCACCGUGCGAGUGUGUAUUUGUGGACGAGCACAUUUCCAUAAUGCUUGUAAAUCCAGACAGAGGCCUGUCAUGUUAGGAUCUCAUAAGCGGCUCCUCUGGAUCAUUUUCCGCCCCCAAAUCACUCUCUCAUUCCCUCUGCCCUCUCUCUUUCCACCAUAAAGCAGCCAGGCCUGAGAAAUUACCAUCGGCCACAACUCUACCUCCACGUGUAGGAUAAUGAAACAGUCGUAAAGUGGGUUGUGUGGAAGUUGGAUGUUGAUUAUGUUGUGUCAGGGAGGAAGGGGAAGGAUGUACCUGCAAAGCUAAACAGUACGGUUCAACCCAGCCCAGAUCUAAUUGGAUUGGGGGAGAUUUUUUAUUUGGCUUUGCCACAGCUCUGUCAUCAUGUUCCAGGCCUGGCUGUGUCUAUAAAAGAGUGUGUGUGUGUGUGUGUGUGUGUGUGUGUGUGUGUGUGUGGUCAGGUUCGCAAUCUAAUAAACCUACAUUUGAGACUGCAAAAGAAGAAUUGUUCAUAUGAUUAUUAACAUGUUUACCAUUUUAUGAAGUCGGCGAUGGGGAGUGUUCUGUCCUACUGACAGAGCCUCUGUGUGUGUGUGUGUGUGUGUGUGUGUGUGUGUGUGUGUGUGUGUGUGUGUUCCUAAUGGCUAAACAGAUUACAGACCACGGUAAAUGGAUUGUCACAGCUCUCUAUCAACCACUCAGAGUGUCUCUUCUGCGAUUAGCACUGGCCAGACUUGAACCAUAAACACACACACGCACGCACGCACAUAAAGAGGCCAGGAUUACAGAGACAUGGCCAUGUUAGGCACCCAAACACUGUUUAUCAAAAGGACUCGUCAGUAAUCUGACUUUUACACCUCUGUCACAGAUAUGAGGCCAGGAUGAGAAGAAGGGACCUUACAAACUAUACUAUACAUCUAUGUAAGCCAUAUAACACAAAGGGGCAUGCUGUUAUAGGAAAAUAAUCAAUGAGGUGUUAUUCGUUUAUAGUGGAAUGUCUGUGAAACAAGUCCUGCUACCACUUAUGUUAGAGCAGGUACAAACCACCUCAAUUUUUCUUUCCUUCCCUUAAAUUGAGUCAAAAGUCAAAAAACGCAGCAUGUCCUGCACCCGAGACACCUGGAAGUGCGACAGCCCCCAUCCCCUGGAGGCAAACUCACCGA